Fukomys damarensis (Damara mole-rat) is the source of this 10360-nucleotide RNA transcript. It is a transcript of the gene named potassium inwardly rectifying channel subfamily J member 6, with no coding region annotated. The transcript has 7 exons. The record is from RefSeq and is a predicted model, not a curated record. NCBI's taxonomy places the organism in Eukaryota, Metazoa, Chordata, Mammalia, Rodentia, Bathyergidae.
GUCUCCUAACAGCCUCCGGGGCCGCCGUGAGAUGUGACCAUCUGCUUCCAGCGUCCCUUUCCGUCCCUUCUGCUUCUCCCCUCGCCAUCCAUCGUGCCGGGCCGUGCAUUCGUAAAUCCCGCUCCGGUCCGGGAGGGAAGACCAUGAUGGAGUGAGCCCACCCUGUCCAAGCCAGGACAAGCACAAAGGAGAAACAACAGCAAUGGCCAAGUUGACAGAAUCUAUGACUAAUGUCCUGGAGGGCGACUCCAUGGAUCAGGAUGUGGAGAGCCCCGUGGCCAUUCACCAGCCAAAGCUGCCUAAGCAGGCCAGGGAUGACCUGCCGAGACACAUCAGCCGGGACCGGACCAAGAGGAAGAUCCAGAGGUACGUGAGAAAAGAUGGGAAGUGCAACGUGCACCAUGGCAACGUGCGGGAGACCUACCGCUACCUGACCGACAUCUUCACCACCCUGGUGGACCUCAAGUGGAGGUUCAACCUGCUCAUCUUCGUCAUGGUCUACACGGUGACGUGGCUCUUUUUUGGAAUGAUCUGGUGGCUGAUCGCAUAUAUCCGAGGAGACAUGGACCACAUAGAGGACUCCUCAUGGACUCCCUGUGUCACCAACCUCAACGGGUUCGUCUCUGCUUUUUUAUUCUCCAUCGAGACGGAAACCACCAUUGGUUAUGGCUACCGGGUCAUCACAGAUAAGUGCCCGGAGGGAAUUAUUCUCCUCUUAAUCCAGUCUGUGCUGGGAUCCAUUGUCAACGCAUUCAUGGUGGGAUGCAUGUUUGUAAAAAUAUCACAACCCAAGAAGAGGGCAGAGACCCUGGUGUUUUCCACCCACGCAGUGAUCUCUAUGCGGGACGGGAAACUGUGCCUGAUGUUCCGGGUUGGGGACCUUCGGAAUUCCCACAUUGUGGAGGCCUCCAUCAGAGCCAAGCUGAUCAAAUCCAAACAGACUUCAGAAGGGGAGUUUAUCCCCCUGAACCAGACGGACAUCAACGUAGGCUACUACACUGGGGAUGACCGUCUGUUUCUGGUGUCACCACUGAUCAUUAGCCAUGAAAUUAACCAACAGAGUCCUUUCUGGGAGAUCUCCAAAGCCCAGCUGCCUAAAGAGGAACUGGAAAUUGUGGUCAUCCUAGAAGGAAUGGUGGAAGCCACAGGGAUGACGUGCCAGGCUCGGAGCUCCUACAUCACCAGCGAAAUCCUCUGGGGUUACCGCUUCACCCCGGUGCUGACGCUGGAGGACGGGUUCUACGAAGUGGACUACAACAGCUUCCACGAGACCUACGAGACCAGCACCCCGUCCCUCAGUGCCAAAGAGCUGGCCGAGCUGGCCAGCAGGGCGGAGCUGCCCCUCAGCUGGUCCGUGUCCAGCAAACUCAACCAGCACGCAGAACUGGAGACGGAGGAGGAGGACAAGAGCCCCGAGGAGCAAACGGAAAGGAAUGGCGACGUGGCCAACCUGGAGAACGAAUCCAAAGUGUAGGCCCUGCCGGGCAGCCCCUUCUAGCAGCUCCCGCCCCGGACGCAGCCUGCCCUGCCUUGUCUCUCAUGUUCUUUCUUGUCUGUCUCUCGUACUUCGUGCUUUAUUUACUUAUGUUUGAUUUUGACAUUACCGGAAUACCAAUCUUCAAGGUGUAAAAUAUCUACCUGCCCUCUCUCAGUUGUUCAGCUUGACGAGGUAGCCAGUGGAUUGGGUCCAAUGCCAAUGGGCCCGCUUUUGUGGCUCAAGCUUGGUCUCCUCCCCAAAUACCAACUGUUAACUUCUAGGGAUCAAACUACUUUUACCUGCAUGCAUUGUCCAAUACCAGGCCACUCAAAAGGGCGUGUCGAAGUUUUUACCUGGGGUGUGACAAGUAAGGUCUCUGCUGCCUGUUUAAUCACGAAGUAAGUUGCAGAGCGAGGCCUCCGCUGUGCAGAUCCCGGCCUCCGCUGUGCAGAUCCCAACACAUUUUAUUAUGACAGGUGAGGUGCUGGCCCGCGUGGGCACAGCAGGCAUAAUACCCAGGUGAGCUCAAGACAAACUACUGUACAUAUACAUAUGCCUUAUGUAAUUAUUUUCUUUUGGCAAUUAGAAAUAAACCCCAGCAUGUACAAAAGUACUGUAGAACAGAACUUCUAAAUAAUGUACAUAGAUGUAUCUUUAAUGUAAUUUCAGAUAUAUAACUUUAGAAAUAAUUAGAAAAAAAAGACCCCCAGCAUACAGUAGGCAUUUCUGUUUCAGUUGCCUGUGUUUUCCACGUUAUUUAAGGCAUGGCCUUUGUUCUGGGUCCCUGCCUGGCAGUCCUUAUGGUACUUCUCUGUCCCUCGCUGAUCCUUUUGUUAAAUCUAAUAAGCCAUAGGUCUGGUGGCAGUUGAGAGGUCUAGCAGAUGGCAGGACCCACCACCAACACGCUGACAUACUGUGACAUGUUUACAAAAUGGGUGUCAUUUUUUAAAAGAUAACGAGGGCCUCGCUGACUUUCCUGGGAGACAACGCCAGGAAUGGGACACUCGGUGAGGUCACCAGUGUCCCACUGCUACUCUUCACAUGAGCUGGUGCCCUUUGGCAUACAACAGUUGAGGAGAGUUUUCUGUAAAACCGCUGAUUCUCCAGCUGUUCCACCCCCAAACAUGAGAAACCACGGACUGCUCAAAGGAGACGUGGUAAGUGAGCAGAAGGUGGUCUGGGUCUAACGCCAGGAAAUUCAGGAAGGCGCGUUGCAGGCAACAGAAUGUAUACACUGACCUGUCAGAUGCUUUCACCCCACCUGGCACUCUGAGGAUGAGAUCUUGCCUGUCCCCAGGGGCCUGUUCAUCCACAUUUCUUGAACUGGGAUUUUUUUCUUCUUCUCCUUGUCCUUCUUCUUUUUCUAGUUUGCAGUGACCAGAGUUCAGUGUUCAAAGAUUAGAUAAACAUUUUUUGUGACUGUCUAAGAGAUUCUAGAGUGUGCCACUAUUUAAAAAUCAAAUCCAAAGUGUCUUUCGAUCAAAAGAGAACAAACAAACAAAAAAAUGGCAGCCUUAACUCAUUUUAACGUGCAAAGAGGAAGGAAAGGGAAAGAAGAGAAGAAGGGUAUUUUGUAUGGAAAAUCUGAACUUCAAAAUGAAACAAAUAAGAAAAGAGAGAGAAUCUUAGACAAAACCUCAGGGGCAGGUGGAGAUUUUGCACUGUGACAGAUCUUUCACAUUGAUUUUUGCAUUUAUAAACUGUUUGUUCUUUACCACAGUGGCCCAUCAUGAAUAUUCACUGAAUGGAUCCAAGUCUAUUUUCAGCUCCUCCAGCUGUGCUCGGUUUGGGCGGAGGUGGCAGAGAUCAAGCUGGCCGUCCCUCCGAGUCUCCCUCGCCGUCCCCGCAGGCUGCACGGCCUUUGCUCUAGACAGGGACCCUGUCUGCUGACAAGGACGCCCCAGCGCUAAGGAGAGCGGCUCCUCCCCUGAACAUCCGGGGUCUCUUCCGCUGCAGAGACCUGGCAUGGGGUACCGCUUUGGCACUGGCUCUUCGGAAACCCAAGCUGUCGGCUGUAGCCCUCUCCUGUGUUCCGCAUUUCCUUGUUGGCAUCGGUGAUCUAUCUGUUGAGUCACGUGUCCAUCCCACGCACCCGUAGGAGGAAGUAGUCGAGGUGGAGGGUGCCCAGUACACCUGCCGCAGCCUGACCUUGUGGCAGCCUUAGGAAGGGCGCCCUGGCCUGUGUCACCAAGCGAGGAGGAGCAGGGGGCUCCAAAACAUCUGUUCGGUUCACUCCUGAAAAUCCACUGGGCCUUUUUAAACCCAUUGCUAAGGCUUGAAGGACAAACACUUCCUGUGGUCGUGUUGCCUUUUCAGCUCGAGGCCUGAUGGCCUCUUGCUGUGCUUUAGCAAAGAGAUCGGAGACCUGGCCAGACCUGCACCGCAGCAGUUCCGCACCUGCGACAGGGCGCCCACUGUCUUGCUGUCACUGCACUUGGAGACAGUACUGGAACCAAAUCUCGUUUUUUUGUAACGUGAGUUCUGAAUCUGUAAAGGAGGCUGCUCCUGAAGGACCUUUUAUUAGAAUGUCCCUCUCAAACAUGUCUAUUUUUCUACAGUUAUCGAGAACACAGUUUAACAGUGUAUUUUGUGUCAACUGUUAAAAUUUGGAACUGAAAGAAGUUCAUUAAGACUGAAUUUUCUAAGCAGUAAGUAGGGAAUGGGGUUUUUUGCAUUAAGACAGUUCAACAAAAUUGACCCCACGAUGUCUACCCUUUCUACUCCCGAGACCCAAGCCUCAUUCCUGCACUCACUGUCUUAGCAAAGUGCGUGCUAUGAAAACAAAUAAGCUGAUUGGAAUGGGACAAUAAUCAAUGAGGUCACCCUCAAGGAGAUAUUCUGGGCUGUUCGGUCGGUGUAGUUGAGUCAAUUUUCCCUAAAGCCCGGUGGGAUCCAUGAGCUUGACAAGAACCUUGGACUGUAGGAGUCAUUCGUCCCAGGUGACCCCAGUGUGGCAGAGGAAGGUCCUCCGGGAGCAAAGGGCAGGUGGAGCUGGAGGGGUGACUUCCUGGGAGUCCUCGGGGGGUUUUCACUUCUUCUGCCCAGUGAGAAGCGCACCUAUCAUCUUGAAAUCAACUUCAAGCGAUUAAGAAAAUCACUCAUUUCUUGGCUGUGCCAAGAACUGCAGGGCACACGGCCCUCUUUUGCACUAGCACACUUGCGGGUCCUGUGAGUCAGCCGUCUCCACGGGGUAUUCCCCACAAGCAGCCGCUCUAUGUCCGUGAAACAAAACACGCUCUCCCCACUCCCUCCUUCCCUCUGUCCCCUCUUCUCUUUCCCUAGUUGUCUGGUUGGAAAACACCCAUCAGUCCAAUUGGGUAUCAGUUUCCCUAACAGAAAUCCAGCUCUUGUCUCCAAAACUGUCAACCUACUUCUUAAGCACAACUUUCUCUUAGCAGGUUUAACCAACCUAGAACUCUGCUGUGCUCAUUUGUCCGUCCUCUAAUGGAGAAAUUCUUUCUGACUUCAUGUAAAAGUCUUAAGUUUUCAAGUCUCCAGAGCAACAUUCUUAUGCUUUCCUUCCCUGCAUCUUCUAACAUUUCUACUCUCUUGCUUUCCCCCAAACACCUGUUUUGUUUUGUUUUGUUUUUUAAUUUAGAUUCAAACCAGUAUCUUUGGGCUUUUCAGAAUCCAGUGGCAGAGGCGGGACUAGGUGGACAGAGAAAGAAAGCGUAAGAAUGCUGUUGACUAGCUGAGAAGACACGAUAGUAAGUCACUUCUGACACAGUUUGUCGCCUUUCUAGUUCUUCUGUCCUUGAAUUGGGUGAUUCUCUAUGUGAUUCAGAAGAGUCGGGAAGGCGGCUACAAAUUAAACAUCCCACUCGUGGCCACUGUCAUCUUCUAGGAUGAUUUCCUCCCCAUGGUUGACUAUAAAGUGGAAAAACAAAGGUAACAAAAAAAUAAUAUAUAGCUCGUUGAUAUUACGUUACAAUCCAGCCAAUUCGUGUUAUCUUGUUUCUAGACUUUAUGGCAAAAAUACUUUUAAGAAAAUGUUAUCCUUUGAUUUAAAAUUGAGUGAAACACAUUUCUUUCCAACAGUUCUGCCCUUAAUGUCUUAGAGGACUUUUGGAUGCAGAGAGUCACCUAGAAGCCGGAAUCCUGUCAGGGCCUACAGCUCACAGGUGUUGCAUGUGGGGAAGAUGGCCUGGAACAGCUCGCCUGUGAGUUCGCGGUCCAGCCUCCAGCCACUCAGCUAGAGGUCCAGUGUGCGAAUCCGGAAUGAACUUCGCUCGGAAACCCCAAAGGCGCUCUGCCAAGAGCUCUGCGAGAAGAGAAGCCCGCAAGGCUUGCUGGACUGUGUGUCGCCUUCUGUGAAGCACAAGGAUCCUGGUGUCUCGGCUCCUGUCCUAACCCUGGAGAAACCUCAAAGCCAAGAGCUUAGCCUGCCAUCCCCGUCCAGGGAAGAUUUGAAGGCUAACUUCCACCCCAGAGGAGGCUUUUCCCAGACCCGGCUCUGUCUCCCUGUGCCCCGAUGUCACAGGAAUCCAUCCUAAAGACAAGACCGGAAAAGCCUAGCUCCUCAAACCCCUGCUGGUCCCCACCACAUCUGGGUAAACUGAGGACAGACCGGGCUUGCUGGAGGCCACAGUCAAGAAAGAGUUUAGGUCUCAUUUCCAACUUCUCCCCCACAAGAUCAGUCUCAAAAGAACAUUGUUUUCCACUAUUAUAGACUUGUGAUGAACGGAUUAACUCCUCCCCUGAAGGCCACGACCACUCACUGGCUCCUUAGAUCUGGGUGCAGGGUGUUCUCUUAUCUAAGCUUUAAAGUCCUGAAGCCUCCUAUUUUCUAGCUGAGAAAACCAAGACUCGGAUUAAAAAUUGAGCCCAAAAUUCCACUGCAAAGUGCAAUUUGUAACCAUACAAUCCUAACAGUGCAUUGAAAGUGUUGCUGCCAGUUACACAGUACACAGCCUGAGAGGUAUCAAGAGGAAGAAGCCCGAACCAGCACCAGCCAUCAUACCGCCCACCACGGGGACAGGGUGACGGGGCUCAUGCUGGAGGGGACAGGGGAACGAGUGUCACAGCCACGACACUGAGGCCAGGAGGAGCAGCGCCCUGGCUAGCGAUGGCGUCAGUGACCUCCUCGGCUGGGCCACUCCACUGACACGAGACCCUGGUGGUCGCUCUCACAGCUGUCCCUCAAGCAGGACACGGAAAGGCCACUGCAUCCACCUCAGGCCACACCGGGGCAGGCCUCAAGGCAAUUGAGAGUUGGUGAGCGGGGCCCACCCCAUGCUGUCCUUCCCUAAGCCCUGGAAAGGCCUCGCGGAGAGCUCUGAGUGAUCACCGGGGAAGGGAAUCCCAGAGCCCGGCCUCCAGGGAGCCCUGCACUGUACCCCAGACGGACCAGCAGCCAAGAGCUGUGGGGCUCCAGCCGAGCCGAGCUACGGUGGGCUUGGACCCACUCUCAGCAGCCCAGAGCUACACCUCCAGGAAGACUCCAGGCUCAGUGCAAAACAUGGCCAUAAUUUAAAACAAAGUUUUAUAAAUGCACCAUUAAAUCCAUGAAAAACAAGUUUGAAAAGUACUCAAAAUCCAUUCCUUCCAUGCCAUUCCACCAUAUUCUCUACUACGUCCUUGGACCACGGACGCCUGUGGUACCCGGGAGGUGGAGAUACGCAGGGGAGAGCUGUCACACAACCCCUCCUGGCUCCAGAUUCAGUGGCCGCAAGCUGGCAGCUGAAAAUGGGUCAUGGUGGGAUAUUUACAACACACAAAUGGGCACAUAUUAUUACGGCCUCCGUUUUCCUGAGUCCGUCUGAAGCAUUUGCCAGAACCAACAAGAGAUGACUCUGAAAGACAGUGGAGAAGGUAAAUGUUUUCAGGAGACCUAACUUCAGGAGCUCUCUCAUUGUCCAUACGGCACUGAAGGAGAAAAGGCUGGGACACAUCAUGGCCAGGGGUGGGGAGGGCGGCUAACUGGGGCCCCAGAAGCAGCACGAUGACGAUCAGGAUGAACGCGCUGGCUAAGAAGACUCUGGAUUAAGCGCCAAGUGUGUGAAUGCUGUGUCUCGAGGAAGUGCUCACUAGGACUGCACAGAGGAGGGGCUCUCGGUCCCCUGGAAGACAAGAAGAUUCAGCCAACAGUGAGGAGCACCGGGGGAAGUCACUGGUUGCUAGGGAAAGGUGGGACCACAUUCAGCCAUUCCUUCUCAUCCAGAUAGAAAAAUCCACUUCAGGGGGUCAGGCGGACUCAGGGCUCACGGGAUGACCACAGAGAAGGAGCCAAAGGAGUCAGGGCUGAAUCCCUCAACACACCUCCUUACUUCUCCAGGGAGAAGGGUGGCUCAAGGUCCGAGGGACUCUCACCUCAGCUCAUCCCCUCGGACUCGGGAAGAACUUAUCCUGUGACACAGCCGGGCCACCUCCUUGGUCCUACUUUGUUGCUCUGCUGAGAAUCCCAGAGCAUCCUCCAGGGAGAUAGCGGAGAGGAUCCACAUGGCGAAGCUCUUGAGGGAACAGCUGAGGUCUAGGCUGUGAUCUCCACUCUGAGUGCCCCAUGCAAACCUGAUGCCCUCCCGGGACACAUGGGGGAGUCCUUGGGGCCAGAUGCGCCGUCUGAGUCACCCAGGGCCAGGUUGCCUGGGUUUGUCCCCACUGAUCUCAGCUUACCUGGUAGGUGUGCGGUUGAGGCAAAGGUGCUGAAUGAUGACAGAAUGUUGAGCUUCUGACACACAUUAAAAGAGACACCCAAGAGCUCAGCCAUGUUGCCCAGGGAACGGCCACCCUCACCGCUUCCUGUCAGACACCUUUCGGCCUCUUCACCUGGAGAGCUACUGAAAUCAUCCUUCACCAUUCUAGGGGGCAACUUUGCCUACUGCCUAGCCCUGCCCCGGCUGGAUGAGAGCCCCAUCAAGAUUGAAUGUCCCAGGAAUGCACUGCUGCAUAGAAUUCCACACUGAACACAGAGGCUUUGAACUAUUGUUUUGCUCACGAUUCUGUGGGUCCAGAAUGUGGGGAGGGCAACGCCGGGGCAGUGUGUCACGAAGACACAUGCUGGGUGCCUCCACUCUCUGGGUUUGCUCUCUGUCUGCAGUUCCCCGGGAUUUGCCCAAGACCAGGGCUCUCCACAGCACGGACGUCUCCAUAUGAUCCCCUUCUUAAAGGACAGCAACUACCAUGGGGUGAGAAGCCAAGCUGUUCAGGGAGAGGUAACGCCAGAGACUCCCUCUGUGUCCACACAGACAGGCUCAGGGAGUGGGACCCCACCGUGGACGUGCCAGGUCCACAUGCAGGAAGGGCAUGCACAUGGGAAACUCCGUGCCAUCGUCCUGGAAAAGCACAACCUGCCAACACUAAGUCUUCUCCUUCCUACUGAGGCAGGGCUAGGGAAGGGCUUGGUGAGAAGGUCCAAUGCUCAGCCCAGUUCUCCCUACUCCUCCUACUUCACACCCACUGUGGCUUCCUCUGCUCCCUUUCCCAUUGCUGGUGAAAGUUGCAAUGAGAAAAGCUCACCAUAUUUGUAGCAGCCCAGAUGGAGGGAUCUUUUAUCUCCCCAGCGGAAACACUGGAGUCAAGAUCUGUUCGUGUCCUCCUGCGUUUUCAGCAGGGCUGAAGGCACAAGAGAUGUCCUUUGAAACCCUACAAACCCAGCAUCGGCUCUUACUGCUACAAAAUGAGCAACCAGCGGGUGGGCUUCCAUGAGCCCUGAAAUUAGAAGCCAGCAGAGAGAAAUGCAGUCAGAUGGGUACACAACAGGGCCCAGGUACGCAACUGAUGCCAAAUGGAAUCCGGGCCAACAUCCCCAAGGCUUUAUCCAUGCUGCUAGGAGAGUGGCAGGGGCCAGCGGUCCAGAGAGACAAACCUAGGUGGAACCCAGCUCUCCACCUACACCAACUACGUGGCUGGCAGUUAUGAACUGAUACCCGAGCAGUGCCUCCACCCACCCAGGGUUAGCCCAGACUGGAUGCCCAUUCAUCCACAACUCACAUCUCUGUGCACAGAGUGAUAGCCGUUAGGUGAUGCACUCUGCCUCUGUCCGGCUGCAGAAGCCCAGACGACCUAUUGACAAAGCACCUCCCCACCAGGAGCAAGGUGCCCGGCUGUCCUUGCUCGCCACACCCUUGUCCCCAAUGAGUGGUGAGGUGGGAGUCUGCACUCAGGCCCUCAGAAGGGGAGUGAAGUCUCUAUAAGGCCCGCAAGGACACAGGACCGAAAGACCUUGAUCUGAGCUUUUUGCAGCCCCCACCGAAUUCUUGCAUUUAAAUAAAGUGUGAUUAAAAGAAUAAGUUUUUAAAAUGUAUUGCAGUAAAAGAUUCACUGCUACACACUGGGGACCUCUGAAACAUUACUGGAAACCUCUGUAGUAGGCUCCAGUCUCCUGCUCAGUAUAGGACGCAGGCCUGAGAAAGAAAACCUAAAAGACAGAACUAAGAGAGACAGGAACAGGGGCACCAGGAUGGCCAAUGCCAGUGCAACCAGCAGAGGCACUGGCCAGUCCAAGCCGCUGAUUUUUAUUGGUCAUCGAUGUGGGUAAAGGCGAGCUCCGUGCAAGGGCAGAACUACGUGUGAGGAUGAGCAGUCCUGUGGUUUCUGUGAAAAUUAACGCAAGCAAGGCUGGUGAAGGGCGAGACAAAGCACUCUCCAAUUAGGAGCAGAAUAGAUAAGACAUAUGGUUGUAAUUCCAACACUGUCCUUCCAGUGAGAAGGUCUUAGUUAUGGGAAUGGAAUUUUGGUGUGAAUUUUUCUGACCUCCGCACAUAGGCUUCAGCUGGACUCGUUUCUCCAAACCAGCUAAUUGUGGGGUUCACUCUUCACAGCCUGCACUGCUCACAGCCUGCUUUGGGGCAUAAUCCAUAUUGCGGUCUCCCACAGCCAUAAACCCCCUGGAAACCCUCCCCCCUCGCUUCUGGAACACCUUACCCCACCGUUCUUACCUCUUUC